AGCGGUGUCGCCAAGCGGUAAGGCAAGAGACUUUGACUCUCUUAUUCGUAUGUUCGAUUCAUACCGCCGCUGCCA
This 75-nucleotide transfer RNA is filed under the name Caudoviricetes sp. Its description in RNAcentral is "tRNA-Gln". It matches the Rfam family "tRNA". From Rfam's summary of the family: Transfer RNA (tRNA) molecules are approximately 80 nucleotides in length. Their secondary structure includes four short double-helical elements and three loops (D, anti-codon, and T loops). Further hydrogen bonds mediate the characteristic L-shaped molecular structure. tRNAs have two regions of fundamental functional importance: the anti-codon, which is responsible for specific mRNA codon recognition, and the 3' end, to which the tRNAs corresponding amino acid is attached (by aminoacyl-tRNA synthetases). tRNAs cope with the degeneracy of the genetic code in two manners: having more than one tRNA (with a specific anti-codon) for a particular amino acid; and 'wobble' base-pairing, i.e. permitting non-standard base-pairing at the 3rd anti-codon position. Lineage: Duplodnaviria; Heunggongvirae; Uroviricota; Caudoviricetes. The record is from RNAcentral.